GCAGGCUGGUGGAAAAGCUCUGACCAACAAGGCCAUAUCCCUCCCCCCCCCCACCUAAAACCCCAAAUAGAAACCCUUACUUUUAGCUUUUUGGGGAGUGUGGCAUUUCAGCGUUAGCAGCCCUUUCUCUUGUCUCAGAGCUCUGCCGUAACAAAGUCCUACUUUCUUCCACAGCACCUGGUGUCAGAGGUUGGCAUGCUGCACCACAGGACACAACUGGAAACACGGGUUAUAAUACCGAGGCUUUGACUGGAACAUCACAUUUGAGAAAGACGUACAGGCUCAGAUGUGACAAGACAGCUUCUGAGGAAUGAAGGUGGACUGUCUGGAAGAAAGCCACUUGGAAAUAUUGGCCUGGUACCUUGCUUAUGGCUUCCCAGUAACCUGUUUGCCAGGAAAGCCGCUGUCUCAAGAGUAUCAAGGAGCGGAGGCUCCCCAGACCUCAACUCCUCGACUCCGACUCCCGGCGCUCGAACCCGCCUCAAACAAGAAGACGAGACACCGGCGAAGGACGCCCACCUGCCAUCCUCCUAUCUCACCCUCCCCCCUGCCUUGCUGCAAGCAGCCUCUCAAGGCCAAACGCAGGCUGGUGGGAAAGCACCGAGCUGCACAAGCUACAUGUUCCC
This is a long non-coding RNA of Equus caballus (horse), 626 nucleotides long. RefSeq lists it as uncharacterized. Lineage: Eukaryota; Metazoa; Chordata; Mammalia; Perissodactyla; Equidae. The record is from RefSeq and is a predicted model, not a curated record.